CUAUAUGUACCAAAGCACCCUGAACAUACCUGAUCUUGUCUUAGAAGCUAAGAAGGGUCAGGCCUGGCCAGUACUUGGAACGGAGACCAUAACUGUUGUAUGGU
Molecule: ribosomal RNA, 104 nt
Filed under: Cavia porcellus (domestic guinea pig)
Lineage: Eukaryota; Metazoa; Chordata; Mammalia; Rodentia; Caviidae
Source: RNAcentral